Molecule: ribosomal RNA, 1235 nt
Filed under: metagenome
Description: bacterial LSU rRNA
Rfam family: Bacterial large subunit ribosomal RNA
Source: RNAcentral
UGAAUACGAGACGCUAAGGCGUCGAAGUAGUGUAUGUCAUACUUCCAAGAAAAGCUUGCACUGUCAUAAGUAAAAAAUGCCUGUACCAUAACCGACACAGGUGGGUAGGUAGAGUAUACUAAGGGGCGCGAGAUAACUCUCUCUAAGGAACUCGGCAAAAUAACUCCGUAACUUCGGGAGAAGGAGUACCUUAUUCUAUAAGGUUGCAAUAACAAGAUCCAAGCAACUGUUUAUCAAAAACACAGGUCUCCGCUAAGUCGUAAGACGAUGUAUGGGGGCUGACGCCUGCCCAGUGCCAGAAGGUUAAAGAAGUCGGUUAGCAUUAGCGAAGCUGGUAACUGAAGCCCUGGUGAACGGCGGCCGUAACAAUAACGGUCCUAAGGUAGCGAAAUUCCUUGUCGGGUAAGUUCCGACCCGCACGAAAGGCGUAAUGAUUUGGAUACUGUCUGGGAGAGGGGCUCGGUGAAAUAGACUUGUCUGUGAAGAUGCGGACUACCUGCACCAGGACAGAAAGACCCUAUGAAGCUUUACUGUAACUUGAAAUUGAAAUUGGACUUUAUUCGCGCAGUAUAGGUGGGAGGUGUUGAUUAUAAUCUUGCGGGAUUAUUGGAGCCAUCAGUGAGAUACCACUCUUGUAAUGUUAGAUUUCUAACUUUGAAUCAUUAUCUGGUCAAAGGACAGUUUCAGGCGGGCAGUUUGACUGGGGCGGUCGCCUCCCAAACGGUAACGGAGGCGUACAAAGGUUUCCUCUGAACGGGUAGAAAUCGUAUCUAGAGUGUAAAGGCAUAAGGAAGCUUGACUGUGAGACCUACAAGUCGAACAGGGACGAAAGUCGGUCUUAGUGAUCUGACGGUACUGAGUGGAAAGGCCGUCACUCAACGGAUAAAAGUUACUCUAGGAUAACAGGCUGACCUCCCCCAAGAGUUCACAUCGACGGGGAGGUUUGGCACCUCGAUGUCGGCUCGUCGCAUCCUGGGGCGGUAGUACGUCCCAGGGGUUGGGCUGUUCGCCCAUGAAAGCGGUACGCGAGCUGGGUUCAGAACGUCGUGAGACAGUUCGGUCCAUAUCCGGUGUAGGCGUUAGAAUAUUGAGAGGAGCCUUCUUUAGUACGAGAGGACCGAGAAGGACAUACCUCUGGUGUACCAGUUAUCGUGCCAACGGUAAACGCUGGGUAGCUAUGUAUGGAGUGGAUAACCGCUGAAAGCAUCUAAGUGGGAAGCCCACCUCAAGAUAAG